Molecule: small RNA, 547 nt
Filed under: Pongo abelii (Sumatran orangutan)
Lineage: Eukaryota; Metazoa; Chordata; Mammalia; Primates; Hominidae
Description: processed transcript
Source: RNAcentral
ACAAGUUGCACUUAAGAAGCUAUGCUAAAAAAUCAAACACACAGAAACCUACAUCAUUACAUUUAUAGAAUGUUCAAGAACUGAUGAAACCAGUCCAUGGUAACAAAAACCAGAAAGUGGUUGCUUCUGGGGACCAGAAGGGAAAGGGGCAUAAAGGGACCUUUUGAGGUGAAUAGAAGUUUCUGCAUCUUGGUUUGGGACACAUGCCAAAACUCACCAGCUACAGAUUCUCGUUGACACUGGAAGCAGUAACUUUGCCGUGGCAGGAGCCCCGCACUCCUACAUAGACACGUACUUUGACACAGAGAGGUCUAGCACAUACCGCUCCAAGGGCUUUGACGUCACAGUGAAGUACACACAAGGAAGCUGGACGGGCUUCGUUGGGGAAGACCUCGUCACCAUCCCCAAAGGCUUCAAUAGUUCUUUUCUUGUCAACAUUGCCACUAUUUUUGAAUCAGAGAAUUUCUUUUUGCCUGGGAUUAAAUGGAAUGGAAUACUUGGCCUAGCUUAUGCCACACUUGCCAAGCCAUCAAGUUCUCUGGAGACC